GCGACUCAGCAACAACAGCAGCAAGCAGAGGCUGCAGGGAGAAGAAGCGCCUUUUCUCUGCGCCCUCAGACUUGCUGGGCAGUUGCCCCGAGUUUGUGAACACGCCACACCCUGUCUUCGCCUGUCCAGGAAGGCCGGAAGUGUCACCUUGCUCUCAAGGAACGCAGCUCAUCUGGCCCCCUGACUGGUCUCUCUUCCCUUCGGGUCCAGAUCAUUGUUCCUCGAGAAUUUUCCUUCGCCCCAAGGAACAGAGUGGAAUGGGGGACCCGAGGCCUCCCAGCUCGGCCCACUGUCUGGUCCUCGCCCGAGGCUGGGCUCCAGCCUGAGUUCAGGAAGCCCCACCUCCUCGCUCUGGUGCCUGAGGAGUGACCGAGCGUCUGGGCGGCCGGGCAGCUGUGGCUGAAUCACAUGGUGGAUCCGCAGGGCCCUUCCUGGAGCCCACCCAGCCCCACAGACGAGGACUCAGCCGUGACUCACGGUCCAGGUGGUGCCCGAGCCACCCUGGCUGAUCUCCCUGGCUAUAUGGACGGCUUGAGCCUGUCAGACGGGUAAUGCAGAUGGCAGCUUCUCAGGCAGCUCCUGAGAUGUCGUGAGGGACGACGGACAAGCAGGCAGAGGGGGAGACUUGCCUGCCCUGACCUGGUGUCGUUUCUGUGACCUGGGGGCGUGUGUGUUAGUCUGUCAGUGACAUCUGACUCUUCGUGACCCCGUGGACUGCAGCCCUCCAGGCUCCUCUGUCCAUG
Molecule: non-coding RNA, 743 nt
Organism: Odocoileus virginianus texanus
Lineage: Eukaryota; Metazoa; Chordata; Mammalia; Artiodactyla; Cervidae
Source: RefSeq, a predicted model, not a curated record